RNAcentral lists this long non-coding RNA (1179 nucleotides) under Populus tremula. Its description in RNAcentral is "long non-coding RNA (PTRE_LNC000249)". Lineage: Eukaryota; Viridiplantae; Streptophyta; Magnoliopsida; Malpighiales; Salicaceae. The record is from RNAcentral.
UAAUGGCUGCUGAAACUGAGACGGGCACUUUGAGUGACAAGAUUGAUGAUGUUCCAAGCCAGGAAGAAGUUGUCACAGUCCCGAACAUUGAAGAAACCGUAGAGAAAGAAAAGAAAGAAGAGCAUGGAUCUAUGGACAAAGCAGGUGAAGGUAAUGAUAGCAAUCCUGACCUAACUGUUACCAACCAGGACAGCGCAAGGGAAGCAUCUAAGGUCCAAGAAGAUUCUGAACAAGAGUUGCAGAGAAUUGAACCAGGAGAACCUGAAGAGUCAUCAACUAUAAUGGUUGCUGAAACUGAGGCAGGCACUUUGAGUGACAAGAUUGAUGAUGUUACAAGCCAGGAAGAAGUUGCCACCAUCCAAAACAUUGAAGAAACCGUAGAGAAAGAAAAGAAAGAAGAGCAUGGACCUUUGGACAGAGCAGAUGAUGGAAACGAUAGCAAUCCUGACCUAACUGUGACUAACCAGGACAGCGCAAGGGAAGCAUCGAAGGUCCAAGAAGAUUCUGAACAAGAAUUGCCGAGAAUUGAACCAGGAGAACUUGAAGAGUCACCAACUGUAAGGGCUGCCGAAACUGAGACGGGCACUUUGAGUGACAAGAUUGAUGACGUUACAAGCCAGGAAGAAGUUGUCACAGUCCCGAACAUUGAAGAAACCAUUGAGAAAGAAAAGAAAGAAGAGCAUGGAUCAUUGGACAAAGCAGGUGAAGGUAAUGAUAGCAAUCCUGACCUAACUGUUACCAACCAGGACAGCGCAAGGGAAGCAUCGAAGGUCCAAGAAGAUUCUGAACAAGAAUUGCAGAGAAUUGAACCAGGAGAACCUGAAGAGUCAUCAACUGUUAUGGCUGCUGAAACCGAGGUAGGCACUUUGAGUGACAAGAUUGAUGAUGUUACGAGCCAGGAAGAAGUUGCCACCAUCGAAAACAUUGAAGAAACCGUAGAGAAAGAAAAGAAAGAAGAGCAUAGACCUUUGGACAGAGUAGAUGAUGGAAACGAUAGCAAUCCUGACCUAACCGUGACUGACCUGGACAGCGCAAGGGAAGCAUCGAAGGUCCAAGAAGAUUCUGAACAAGAACUGCAGAGAAUUGAACCAGGAGAACCUGAAGAGUCAUCAACUGUUAUGGCUGCUGAAACUGAGGCGGGCACUUUGAGUGACAAGAUUGAUGAUGUUACAAGCCAGG